ACACUGUCUAAGUCUGCAGCCCUGAUAAUUAUUUAGCACACUGUUGAGAGAUUUAGUAGCAGCAGCACCAGCCAGAGGCUGAAGAAGGAAGGAUAAGGCGUGGAAGUCUGGAAGCUGGUCUUUGGCCAUUAAAGUUCCUGCAGUCAGGACAACAUGUACAAAUCUGAAAAUCUACACACAACAGUACAGCAAAAAGCAGUUUGUGGAUCUGAUGGAGGAAAACUUAAUGUGUUCAGGGCCCCAAGAGGUGGCGAGGGGUUGGUGACAGCAGCCCCAUGUGAGCCAAAACGUCUGCCUCAGCAUGCGAGGAAGAACUGUUGGGGAGCCAUGAUAACAUGGAGACUGAUGGCAGAGGCCUCGUGCUCAUCUGAAUGUCCUGGGUCAGCUACCAGGAGGAGGCAGAAUGGGGGUCGGUGGCAGAGAUCCCUGGCCUGCUUGAGAGCGACUCCGAAAACAAUUUCAACAACCCUCACUGAGGUCUUCCAACCCAUCCAACCUUUUAAGAACUUUGGUCGCCAACCUCCAGGGAGGAGUAGAAGUUUUCUGUAUACAGUUAGUUAAUUAGUUUCUAUUUGUUAAGAAAUUUAAUUAGUUCUUUUCUGUAUACUGUUAGAUUAGGUAGGUUGGUUAGGUGUAGCCAGUUCCCUUCUUGGAGAAAUUAGGAAUAUUUUUAGCCUAUCCCUGCAGCAGCCAUAAUUACAGUAGUUUUAGUUUAAUGUUGUGCAUUGAUUUAGUGUUAUGCAUUGAUAUAUUAACAUAUUAUUGUAAAUGUAUUGAUACUGAUGUAUUAAUGUUUUGAUAUUGCCUAUUUUGAUUAUGCUCUGUUAAUGUAUUGUUGAUUUAUUGCUAUUGUAUGGAUUUAGUAUGGAUAGGUGUGGAUUUGUUCUUAGUGCUGCUGUUAUUGGUUUAGCAAAUUGUCAGGCUUGAGAUGUUUACUAUACCACUUCUUGUUGUUAAGAUGUUAUUACUAUUUUGCUAUUGAGUCUUGAAAUGUUGUUUACUUUUGAUAUGUUAUGA
Molecule: long non-coding RNA, 1017 nt
Organism: Sphaerodactylus townsendi
Lineage: Eukaryota; Metazoa; Chordata; Lepidosauria; Squamata; Sphaerodactylidae
Exons: 3
Source: RefSeq, a predicted model, not a curated record